UAAUCGCGCAUCAGCCAUGGCGCGGUGAAUACGUUCCCGGGCCUUGUACACACCGCCCGUCAAGCCAUGAAAGCCGGGGGUGCCUGAAGUCCGUGACCGCGAGGGUCGGCCUAGGGUAAAACUGGUGAUUGGGGCUAAGUCGUAACAAGGUACC
Molecule: ribosomal RNA, 154 nt
Filed under: uncultured bacterium
Lineage: Bacteria
Description: partial 16S ribosomal RNA
Rfam family: Bacterial small subunit ribosomal RNA
Source: RNAcentral